Molecule: ribosomal RNA, 490 nt
Filed under: uncultured bacterium
Lineage: Bacteria
Description: bacterial SSU rRNA
Rfam family: Bacterial small subunit ribosomal RNA
Source: RNAcentral
UCAGGAUGAACGCUGGCGGCGUGCUUAAUACAUGCAAGUCGAACGAAGACAUCUCGCCGAAGCUUGCUUCAUUGAGAUAUCUUAGUGGCGGACGGGUGAGUAACGCGUGGGUAACCUGCCUUACACAGGGGGAUAACAGUUAGAAAUGACUGCUAAUACCGCAUAAGCGCACAUUAUCGCAUGAUAGAGUGUGAAAAGAUUUAUCGGUGUAAGAUGGACCCGCGUCUGAUUAGCUAGUUGGUGAGGUAACGGCCCACCAAGGCGACGAUCAGUAGCCGGCCUGAGAGGGUGAACGGCCACAUUGGGACUGAGACACGGCCCAAACUCCUACGGGAGGCAGCAGUAGGGAAUAUUGGACAAUGGGGGAAACCCUGAAUCCAGCGACGCCGCGUGAGUGAAGAAGUAUUUCGGUACGUAAAGCUCUAUCAGCAGGGAAGAAAAUGACGGUACCUGACUAAGAAGCACCGGCUAAAUACGUGCCAGCCGCGGC